CGUUGUCCGGAAUCCCUGGGUGUAAAGGGUGUGCAGGCGGGGCAACAAGUUGGAUGUGAAACCCCAUGGCUCAACCAUGGAGGUGCAUUUGAAACUGUUGCUCUUGAGUCCCGGAGAGGCUGUUGGAAUUCGUGGUGGAGCGGUGAAAUGCGUAGAUAUCACGAGGAACACCAGAGGCGAAAGCGGGCAACUGGACGGGUACUGACGCUCAGGCACGAAAGCGUGGGGAGCAAACAGGAUUAGAUACCCUGGUAGUUCCCGCCGUAAACGAUGAACGCUUGCCGUUGCCCCGCUCAAGGGGCAGUGGCUAAGCUAACGCGUU
Molecule: ribosomal RNA, 322 nt
Filed under: uncultured bacterium
Lineage: Bacteria
Description: bacterial SSU rRNA
Rfam family: Bacterial small subunit ribosomal RNA
Source: RNAcentral